Molecule: ribosomal RNA, 465 nt
Filed under: uncultured bacterium
Lineage: Bacteria
Description: partial 16S ribosomal RNA
Rfam family: Bacterial small subunit ribosomal RNA
Source: RNAcentral
CCUACGGGUGGCAGCAGUGGGGAAUAUUGCGCAAUGGGCGAAAGCCUGACGCAGCGACGCCGCGUGAGGGAUGAAGGUCUUCGGAUCGUAAACCUCUGUCAGCAGGGAAGAACGGUCACUGUGCUAAUCAGCCGUGAAUUGACGGUACCUGCAAAGGAAGCCCCGGCUAACUCCGUGCCAGCAGCCGCGGUAAUACGGAGGGUGCGAGCGUUAAUCGGAAUUACUGGGCGUAAAGCGCUCGUAGGCGGUAUGUCAAGUCAAAGGUGAAAUCCCCGGGCUCAACGUGGGAACGGCCUUUGAAACUGGCAAACUGGAGUGUAGGAGAGGAUAGUGGAAUUCCAGGUGUAGGAGUGAAAUCCGUAGAUAUCUGGAGGAACAUCAGUGGCGAAGGCGACUAUCUGGCACAUAACUGACGCUGAGGAGCGAAAGCGUGGGUAGCAAACAGGAUUAGAUACCCUUGUAGUC